RNAcentral lists this transfer RNA (66 nucleotides) under Hylica paradoxa. RNAcentral's name for it is "tRNA-Thr". Lineage: Eukaryota; Metazoa; Arthropoda; Insecta; Hemiptera; Cicadellidae. The record is from RNAcentral.
GUUUUAAUAAUUUAAAAAAAAUAUUAGUUUUGUAAACUAAAUUUAGGAAAUUCAACCUUUAAAACU